GGGUUGUGAGGUUAAGCGACUAAGCGUACACGGUGGAUGCCCUGGCAGUCAGAGGCGAUGAAGGACGUGCUAAUCUGCGAUAAGCGUCGGUAAGGUGAUAUGAACCGUUAUAACCGGCGAUUUCCGAAUGGGGAAACCCAGUGUGUUUCGACACACUAUCAUUAACUGAAUCCAUAGGUUAAUGAGGCGAACCGGGGGAACUGAAACAUCUAAGUACCCCGAGGAAAAGAAAUCAACCGAGAUUCCCCCAGUAGCGGCGAGCGAACGGGGAGCAGCCCAGAGCCUGAAUCAGUGUGUGUGUUAGUGGAAGCGUCUGGAAAGGCGCGCGAUACAGGGUGACAGCCCCGUACACAAAAAUGCACAUGCUGUGAGCUCGAUGAGUAGGGCGGGACACGUGGUAUCCUGUCUGAAUAUGGGGGGACCAUCCUCCAAGGCUAAAUACUCCUGACUGACCGAUAGUGAACCAGUACCGUGAGGGAAAGGCGAAAAGAACCCCGGCGAGGGGAGUGAAAAAGAACCUGAAACCGUGUACGUACAAGCAGUGGGAGCACGCUUAGGCGUGUGACUGCGUACCUUUUGUAUAAUGGGUCAGCGACUUAUAUUCUGUAGCAAGGUUAACCGAAUAGGGGAGCCGAAGGGAAACCGAGUCUUAACUGGGCGUUAAGUUGCAGGGUAUAGACCCGAAACCCGGUGAUCUAGCCAUGGGCAGGUUGAAGGUUGGGUAACACUAACUGGAGGACCGAACCGACUAAUGUUGAAAAAUUAGCGGAUGACUUGUGGCUGGGGGUGAAAGGCCAAUCAAACCGGGAGAUAGCUGGUUCUCCCCGAAAGCUAUUUAGGUAGCGCCUCGUGAAUUCAUCUCCGGGGGUAGAGCACUGUUUCGGCAAGGGGGUCAUCCCGACUUACCAACCCGAUGCAAACUGCGAAUACCGGAGAAUGUUAUCACGGGAGACACACGGCGGGUGCUAACGUCCGUCGUGAAGAGGGAAACAACCCAGACCGCCAGCUAAGGUCCCAAAGUCAUGGUUAAGUGGGAAACGAUGUGGGAAGGCCCAGACAGCCAGGAUGUUGGCUUAGAAGCAGCCAUCAUUUAAAGAAAGCGUAAUAGCUCACUGGUCGAGUCGGCCUGCGCGGAAGAUGUAACGGGGCUAAACCAUGCACCGAAGCUGCGGCAGCGACGCUGAUGCGUUGUUGGGUAGGGGAGCGUUCUGUAAGCCUGCGAAGGUGUGCUGUGAGGCAUGCUGGAGGUAUCAGAAGUGCGAAUGCUGACAUAAGUAACGAUAAAGCGGGUGAAAAGCCCGCUCGCCGGAAGACCAAGGGUUCCUGUCCAACGUUAAUCGGGGCAGGGUGAGUCGACCCCUAAGGCGAGGCCGAAAGGCGUAGUCGAUGGGAAACAGGUUAAUAUUCCUGUACUUGGUGUUACUGCGAAGGGGGGACGGAGAAGGCUAUGUUGGCCGGGCGACGGUUGUCCCGGUUUAAGCGUGUAGGCUGGUUUUCCAGGCAAAUCCGGAAAAUCAAGGCUGAGGCGUGAUGACGAGGCACUACGGUGCUGAAGCAACAAAUGCCCUGCUUCCAGGAAAAGCCUCUAAGCAUCAGGUAACAUCAAAUCGUACCCCAAACCGACACAGGUGGUCAGGUAGAGAAUACCAAGGCGCUUGAGAGAACUCGGGUGAAGGAACUAGGCAAAAUGGUGCCGUAACUUCGGGAGAAGGCACGCUGAUAUGUAGGUGAAGUCCCUCGCGGAUGGAGCUGAAAUCAGUCGAAGAUACCAGCUGGCUGCAACUGUUUAUUAAAAACACAGCACUGUGCAAACACGAAAGUGGACGUAUACGGUGUGACGCCUGCCCGGUGCCGGAAGGUUAAUUGAUGGGGUUAGCGCAAGCGAAGCUCUUGAUCGAAGCCCCGGUAAACGGCGGCCGUAACUAUAACGGUCCUAAGGUAGCGAAAUUCCUUGUCGGGUAAGUUCCGACCUGCACGAAUGGCGUAAUGAUGGCCAGGCUGUCUCCACCCGAGACUCAGUGAAAUUGAACUCGCUGUGAAGAUGCAGUGUACCCGCGGCAAGACGGAAAGACCCCGUGAACCUUUACUAUAGCUUGACACUGAACAUUGAGCCUUGAUGUGUAGGAUAGGUGGGAGGCUU
This 2140-nucleotide ribosomal RNA is filed under the name Escherichia coli. RNAcentral's name for it is "partial 23S ribosomal RNA". It matches the Rfam family "Bacterial large subunit ribosomal RNA", at positions 1 to 2157 of the family's 2925-position model. The record is from RNAcentral. Lineage: Bacteria; Pseudomonadati; Pseudomonadota; Gammaproteobacteria; Enterobacterales; Enterobacteriaceae.